UACGUAGGUGGCGAGCGUUAUCCAGAAUUAUUGGGCGUAAAGAGCUCGUAGGCGGUUCGGUAAGUCGGCUGUGAAAUCUCCACGCUCAACGUGGAGGGGUCAGUCGAAACUGCCGUGACUCGAGUCCGGUAGAGGAGUGUGGAAUUCCCGGUGUAGCGGUGAAAUGCGCAGAGAUCGGGAGGAACACCCGUAGCGAAGGCGGCACUCUGGGCCGGUACUGACGCUGAGGAGCGAAAGCGUGGGGAGCAAACAGG
Molecule: ribosomal RNA, 254 nt
Filed under: uncultured bacterium
Lineage: Bacteria
Description: partial 16S ribosomal RNA
Rfam family: Bacterial small subunit ribosomal RNA
Source: RNAcentral